This 468-nucleotide ribosomal RNA is filed under the name uncultured bacterium. RNAcentral's name for it is "partial 16S ribosomal RNA". It matches the Rfam family "Bacterial small subunit ribosomal RNA", at positions 28 to 507 of the family's 1533-position model. The record is from RNAcentral.
GACGAACGCUGGCGGCGUGCUUAACACAUGCAAGUCGAACGGAAAGGCCCUGCUUUUGUGGGGUGCUCGAGUGGCGAACGGGUGAGUAACACGUGAGUAACCUGCCCUUUACUUUGGGAUAACUUCAGGAAACUUGGGCUAAUACCGGAUAGGAGCUCCUGCUUCCUGGGGGGGGUUGGGAAGGUUCGGCGGUUGGGGAUGGACUCGCGGCUUAUCAGCUUGUUGGUGGGGUAGUGGCUUACCAAGGCUUUGACGGGUAGCCGGCCUGAGAGGGUGACCGGCCACAUUGGGACUGAGAUACGGCCCAGACUCCUACGGGAGGCAGCAGUGGGGAAUAUUGCACAAUGGGCGGAAGCCUGAUGCAGCAACGCCGCGUGCGGGAUGACGGCCUUCGGGUUGUAAACCGCUUUCGCCUGUGACGAAGCGUGAGUGACGGUAAUGGGUAAAGAAGCACCGGCUAACUACGUG